Molecule: long non-coding RNA, 429 nt
Organism: Rhododendron vialii
Lineage: Eukaryota; Viridiplantae; Streptophyta; Magnoliopsida; Ericales; Ericaceae
Exons: 2
Source: RefSeq, a predicted model, not a curated record
ACUAACAGUCUGUUUGGAUGCUUGAUUUGGAGCCCGGAUUUGUACGCACCCGGAUUUAGAGCCAUGGCCCCACGUAAAUCAGGUGUUUGGGAAGAAAAAAACGCAGGUGGAUUUGUGGGUGGAUUUGGCUCUCCUGGAUUGUAAAUCCACCUGCGGCCCGGAUUACCAACGAUAGGGGGUACCCCCGUCGUUGGCAAAUCCACCCUGAGACGGAUAUGUGAAUGACGAGCCUGCCCUUGCUCCGUCUGAGGAGGAAGAGGAGGAGGAGGAGGAGGAGGUCGCCGUCACCUGUGAUCGGCCACUGUCAUUCCCGCCGCCGUACGAUCGAGAACCAGAGAUGAGAGAACCGCUGUGGGAUCGGUGGUAGUAUGAGAGAGACACAGAGAGAUUGGGGAUUUGAAUUUGUGGCUAUGGGUAGAGAGAGAGAGA